ACAAUGACUGAGAACAGAAGAGUAGCUUUGCUAACGUUUGCCAAGGGAGUAUCGGUAAGUGAAAAGAUAUCAAACGUUGCGCUGCGAAAGUAAUCUGGGAGUCAUCAUCACGAAUAAGCGAGUGGUGAUUGGUGUGCGGCAACCAUUAUGACAGCCGGAGUAUGAGCAAUCGUACUUAACGAGAUCGGUGUGGCGACAUGCUGAUGAAUCAAGGUGGUACCGCGCGAAAAGCGUCCUUAGU
This 241-nucleotide non-coding RNA is filed under the name Furfurilactobacillus siliginis. RNAcentral's name for it is "Lactobacillus siliginis T-box sequence". It matches the Rfam family "T-box leader". Rfam says of the family: Uncharged tRNA acts as the effector for transcription antitermination of genes in the T-box leader family. T-boxes are found upstream of many aminoacyl-tRNA synthetase genes and some amino acid biosynthetic genes usually in Gram-positive bacteria. The record is from RNAcentral. Lineage: Bacteria; Bacillati; Bacillota; Bacilli; Lactobacillales; Lactobacillaceae.